CCUCGGCGGCAGCAGUGGGGAAUAUUGGACAAUGGGCGAAAGCCUGAUCCAGCCAUGCCGCGUGUGUGAAGAAGGCCUUCGGGUUGUAAAGCACUUUCAGUGGGGAAGAAAGCCUUGGGGCUAAUACCCUCGAGGAAGGACAUCACCCACAGAAGAAGCACCGGCUAACUCCGUGCCAGCAGCCGCGGUAAUACGGAGGGUGCGAGCGUUAAUCGGAAUUACUGGGCGUAAAGCGCGCGUAGGCGGUCUGAUAAGCCGGUUGUGAAAGCCCCGGGCUCAACCUGGGAACGGCAUCCGGAACUGUCAGGCUAGAGUGCAGGAGAGGAAGGUAGAAUUCCCGGUGUAGCGGUGAAAUGCGUAGAGAUCGGGAGGAAUACCAGUGGCGAAGGCGGCCUUCUGGACUGACACUGACGCUGAGGUGCGAAAGCGUGGGUAGCAAACAGGAUUAGAUACCCAGUAGUC
RNAcentral lists this ribosomal RNA (462 nucleotides) under Vreelandella stevensii. RNAcentral describes it as "partial 16S ribosomal RNA". It matches the Rfam family "Bacterial small subunit ribosomal RNA", at positions 338 to 795 of the family's 1533-position model. The record is from RNAcentral. Lineage: Bacteria; Pseudomonadati; Pseudomonadota; Gammaproteobacteria; Oceanospirillales; Halomonadaceae.